Molecule: unclassified non-coding RNA, 305 nt
Filed under: plant metagenome
Description: partial contains 5.8S ribosomal RNA, internal transcribed spacer 2, and large subunit ribosomal RNA
Rfam family: 5.8S ribosomal RNA (bases 1-105)
Source: RNAcentral
GAAAUGCGAUAAGUAAUGUGAAUUGCAGAAUUCAGUGAAUCAUCGAAUCUUUGAACGCACAUUGCGCCCGCCAGUAUUCUGGCGGGCAUGCCUGUUCGAGCGUCAUUUCAACCAUCAAGCCCCCGGCUUGUGUUGGGGACCUGCGGCUGCCCGCAGGCCCUGAAAAACAGUGGCGCGCUCGCUGUCACACCGAGCGUAGUAGCAUACAUUCUCGCUCAGGGCGUGCUGCGGGUUCCGGCCGUUAAACGACCUUCAUAACCCAAGGUUGACCUCGGAUCAGGUAGGAAGACCCGCUGAACUUAAGC